AACAAACGUUUGUAAACCAUGUUUAAUAUUAAUUUUUGUGAUUCGUACAGCGUCAACCUGGGCUUUUACAACCUACAUGCAGGUCCAGGUCCAUGACUAUUCGAUUUUUGUCCUAUCAAUUUCAAAUUUCCUAUUAAAUUGAAUGAACCAUAGGCAAUCUCACAGUUGCACAAUAAAAAAAAACAUUCUGCUAAGGCUAUUGCAUCUCCUUUCAAGCCAUAACAAGACUUUCUUGACUUGACUGCUCUCUUUCUUUCCCAGUAGCACUUUUCAGGUUGGGCAAUCUCCAUCACCUCUAAAAUUCAUCCAAUAGUUAAGUAGAAGCUGUUUUCGGCAUAAACACCGUGGCAUCUCACCUGCCUCAACAUGCAGAGCGCACACAGGUUCUGGGCCUGCCUGUGGUUGUUAUUAUCUGGAUCCUCUGCUGCCUGGCUAUUUGGACCUUCUCUGAUCUGGACCUUUUGACACUGGAGGCCACUUCAUCGGUUCCUCUUUUGGAAGCUUUCACUUCCAGCCUCACCCAGUCAUAUCUGUUUCAGUUAAGUCUUUGGUCUUCUACUGCUUUAUUGGAAUUACUAACUUUAUUGAAACUCCUUAAAAAAUUCCAGUUGUUUCCAAUUUAUGUUUUCAGCUGUAGCUGCUCAUUUGGCUUAUUGUGAGUUAACUCUAUCAUAUAGCGAUUAUGACACAGCUUUUACACCCCUCAUCCUAUUGCAACUAUAAAUAGAACAUUAUAGAUUUAACAAUGCAGACUAAACCCCAUUUGACCUAGAUAAUCAUCCAUACAUUUCUGUUUCAUACAGGCUACUGCUUAAUCUGUUUGGGGUCACAG
Molecule: long non-coding RNA, 832 nt
Organism: Betta splendens (Siamese fighting fish)
Lineage: Eukaryota; Metazoa; Chordata; Actinopteri; Anabantiformes; Osphronemidae
Exons: 3
Source: RefSeq, a predicted model, not a curated record